UUCACCAUGGUCCACUGACAUUGUCUCUCCUUGUGAAGGCUGUUUCUUCUUACUUGGAUAAAUCUUUCUUGGCUUGUUAGGGUCUCCAGGUCGGUCACAAUAGAGAGAGUUAUGCCAUUCUGUCCCACAUCGAUAACAAUGGAUCUUCUUAAAGUGUCCUGAAACUUUUUUCCUUUUUGUAGGAGACUCAUGAACUGAUUUCUUCCUCUUCUGUGGAUUCUUAUUUCCACCUUUCUCUUUAGGUCUUGGCGGUGGUUCAAUGUGAGAACCAGGAGCAUCUUUCAAAAACUUCAUUCCUUCAACCGGAGUGAUUGAAUCAUUAUAUUUCUUCUUCCACAAAGUGGUCAAGG
Molecule: long non-coding RNA, 350 nt
Filed under: Brassica rapa (field mustard)
Lineage: Eukaryota; Viridiplantae; Streptophyta; Magnoliopsida; Brassicales; Brassicaceae
Description: long non-coding RNA (BRAP_LNC001272)
Source: RNAcentral